CUAGAGAUAGAAAGUUACUUCGGUACAUCGGUGACAGGUGGUGCAUGGUUGUCGUCAGCUCGUGUCGUGAGAUGUUGGGUUAAGUCCCGCAACGAGCGCAACCCCUAUUGUUAGUUGCCAUCAUUCAGUUGGGCACUCUAGCGAGACUGCCGGUAAUAAACCGGAGGAAGGUGGGGAUGACGUCAAAUCAUCAUGCCCCUUAUGACCUGGGCUACACACGUGCUACAAUGGUUGGUACAACGAGUUGCGAGUCGGUGACGGCGAGCUAAUCUCUUAAAGCCAAUCUCAGUUCGGAUUGUAGGCUGCAACUCGCCUACAUGAAGUCGGAAUCGCUAGUAAUCGCGGAUCAGCACGCCCGCGGUCGAAUACGUUCCCGGGCCUU
RNAcentral lists this ribosomal RNA (382 nucleotides) under uncultured Streptococcus sp. RNAcentral describes it as "bacterial SSU rRNA". It matches the Rfam family "Bacterial small subunit ribosomal RNA", at positions 1000 to 1382 of the family's 1533-position model. The record is from RNAcentral. Lineage: Bacteria; Bacillati; Bacillota; Bacilli; Lactobacillales; Streptococcaceae.